RNAcentral lists this ribosomal RNA (423 nucleotides) under uncultured bacterium. RNAcentral describes it as "bacterial SSU rRNA". It matches the Rfam family "Bacterial small subunit ribosomal RNA", at positions 207 to 622 of the family's 1533-position model. The record is from RNAcentral.
AAGACCUUGCGCUUUUGGAGCGGCCGAUGCCUGAUUAGCUUGUUGGURAGGUAAAAGCUUACCAAGGCUUCGAUCAGUAGCUGGUCUGAGAGGACGACCAGCCACACUGGGACUGAGACACGGCCCAGACUCCUACGGGAGGCAGCAGUGGGGAAUUUUGGACAAUGGGGGCAACCCUGAUCCAGCCAUGCCGCGUGAGUGAAGAAGGCCUUCGGGUUGUAAAGCUCUUUCAGCCGGAACGAAACGGUUACGGAUAACACCCGUGACUACUGACGGUACCGGAAGAAGAAGCACCGGCUAACUACGUGCCAGCAGCCGCGGUAAUACGUAGGGUGCGAGCGUUAAUCGGAAUUACUGGGCGUAAAGCGUGCGCAGGUGGUUUUGUAAGUCAGAUGUGAAAUCCCCGGGCUCAACCUGGGAACU